RNAcentral lists this long non-coding RNA (738 nucleotides) under Rattus norvegicus (Norway rat). Its description in RNAcentral is "long non-coding RNA NONRATT005402". The record is from RNAcentral. Lineage: Eukaryota; Metazoa; Chordata; Mammalia; Rodentia; Muridae.
ACCAGCCAUCUAAGUUGACAGCUGUGAUCUUUACUGUCUUGUGCACCUGAAAACUACAUCAUGACAUUUAAGCCAUGCUCGCUAGCUGAGAUGGCCCCAGCAGCAGCCACAAAUCCCAGGCAGAAUGGAAAUGCUAAAUUCCGUGUUUGGGGCUUGAUUUGAAGGGCAAGAACACUCAGAUUCAUGAGGCUGAACUUCUAGCAACGGUUAACCUUGACUGCCAACUUGAUUGGGUCUGAAACUAAUUAAACAACAUGCCUAAGAGCAGAUUAGUGAGACGAUUUCAAGGAUGCUUUAACGGAAGGGACUCUCCCAUGUGUAUGUAGGACCUUCAGCCCAGAGGUAAAGGAGUCCUAGGAAAAAGCAGUGCUCCACCUACCCACCUUUACUUUCUGUUGAUGGCCAGAGGAGAAGGCAGACACUUGGCAGAAAAAAGUCAUCAGGGUUUGCUGCACAAGUGUGAGGACUUGAGUUCGAACCUCAACACCUGCAUGAAAGCUGGCCCCAGCGAUGAGCACCUGUCAUUCCAACCCUGGGGAGGCGGAGACAGCAAGUGCAGCUGAUGUCCACACCUGCUGGGGCCAUGUGUGAAUGGAGACACCUACUACAGAGGAGUGGGAGGCUCUCAACAGGGUCAGGCAACAACAGCUCCCCAGGGAAGGCGGUGUGAAGGCAGCCCAGCAUUGACCAUCUUAAGGAAGAGAGCCCGUUCCGGUCAGUGAGGUGGCCCAGCAGGUA